RNAcentral lists this ribosomal RNA (520 nucleotides) under uncultured Entrophospora. RNAcentral describes it as "SSU rRNA". It matches the Rfam family "Eukaryotic small subunit ribosomal RNA", at positions 569 to 1083 of the family's 1831-position model. Lineage: Eukaryota; Fungi; Glomeromycota; Glomeromycetes; Entrophosporales; Entrophosporaceae. The record is from RNAcentral.
AGCAGCCGCGGUAAUUCCAGCUCCAAUAGCGUAUAUUAAAGUUGUUGCAGUUAAAAGCUCGUAGUUGAAUUUCGGGAUUGACACAUCGGUCGUGCCUUAAGGGGUAUGAACUGGUGUAGUCAAUUUCUCACCUUCUGGAGAACCGCAAUGCCCUUAAUUGGGUGUCGCGGGGAACCAGGACCUUUACUUUGAAAAAAUUUAGAGUGUUUAAAGCAGGCAUUUUGCUUGAAUACAUUAGCAUGGAAUAAUAAAAUAGGACGGCAUGAUUCUAUUUUGUUGGUUUCUAGGAUCACCGUAAUGAUUAAUAGGGAUAGUUGGGGGCAUUAGUAUUCAAUUGUCAGAGGUGAAAUUCUUGGACUUAUUGAAGACUAACUACUGCGAAAGCAUUUGCCAAGGAUGUUUUCAUUAAUCAAGAACGAAAGUUAGGGGAUCGAAGACGAUCAGAUACCGUCGUAGUCUUAACCAUAAACUAUGCCGACUAGGAAUCAGACGAUGUUAAUUUUUUCAAUGACUCGUUUGG